ACGAACGCUGGCGGCGUGCCUAACACAUGCAAGCGAGCGAUGAAGCCCUCGGGGCUGAUUAGCGGCGGACGGGUGAGUAACACGUGGGUAACCUGCCUCAGUAGAGGGGGGAUAGCCUCCCGAAAGGGAGAUUAAUACCGCAUAAUGUAUUUUGGCCACAUGGCUGAAAUAUCAAAGGAGUAAUCCGCUAUGAGAUGGACCCGCGGCGCAUUAGCUAGUUGGUGAGGUAACGGCUCACCAAGGCGACGAUGCGUAGCCGACCUGAGAGGGUGAUCGGCCACAUUGGAACUGAGACACGGUCCAGACUCCUACGGGAGGCAGCAGUGGGGAAUAUUGCGCAAUGGGGGAAACCCUGACGCAAGCAACGCCGCGUGAAUGAUGAAGGCCUUAGGGUUGUAAAGUUCUGUCUUCUGGGACGAUAAUGACGGUACCAGAGGAGGAAGCCACGGCUAACUACGUGCCAGCAGCCGC
Molecule: ribosomal RNA, 471 nt
Filed under: uncultured bacterium
Lineage: Bacteria
Description: bacterial SSU rRNA
Rfam family: Bacterial small subunit ribosomal RNA
Source: RNAcentral